Molecule: non-coding RNA, 79 nt
Filed under: unclassified sequences
Source: RNAcentral
AAUCAGUUGCCACCGGGUAACUUAUACUCAAACAAGCUCAUUAGGUCAUAGAAGAGCUUGCUUGAGUUUUUUAUUUUUA